This 239-nucleotide ribosomal RNA is filed under the name uncultured bacterium. RNAcentral describes it as "partial 16S ribosomal RNA". It matches the Rfam family "Bacterial small subunit ribosomal RNA", at positions 92 to 334 of the family's 1533-position model. The record is from RNAcentral.
CGACCGGCGCACGGGUGCGUAACGCGUAUGCAACUACCUUUAACAGGGGGAUAACACUGAGAAAUUGGUACUAAUACCCCAUAAUAUCAUAGAAGGCAUCUUUUAUGGUUGAAAAUUCCGAUGGUUAGAGAUGGGCAUGCGUUGUAUUAGCUAGUUGGUGGGGUAACGGCUCACCAAGGCGACGAUACAUAGGGGGACUGAGAGGUUAACCCCCACACUGGUACUGAGACACGGACCAG